CGGCGGACGGGUGAGUAACGCGUGGGUAACCUGCCUCAUACAGGGGGAUAACAGUUAGAAAUGACUGCUAAUACCGCAUAAGCGCACGGGACCGCAUGGUCUUGUGUGAAAAACUCCGGUGGUAUGAGAUGGACCCGCGUCUGAUUAGGUAGUUGGCGGGGUAGCGGCCCACCAAGCCGACGAUCAGUAGCCGACCUGAGAGGGUGACCGGCCACAUUGGGACUGAGACACGGCCCAAACUCCUACGGAAGGCAGCAG
This 258-nucleotide ribosomal RNA is filed under the name uncultured bacterium. RNAcentral's name for it is "partial 16S ribosomal RNA". It matches the Rfam family "Bacterial small subunit ribosomal RNA", at positions 96 to 354 of the family's 1533-position model. The record is from RNAcentral.